GAGCAAUUCACUGUUCCUGUCAUAAAAUGUACUACAAACAGCCUAAAGCUUGAUUUUUUUUUUUCUCCCCCGUCACCAAUGCGCAGUCUGGCACUUUGCUCCUUCUACUCUUUAACACCUGAUGACUUGCAGCUCCUUCCAGCCAAUCAGCUGCGGAGACUCAGCAUCUCUGUGGCCCCCCCUGUGUGCGCACUGUCAUCAUGACAGCGCGCUAUAAGAAGCCAUCGGCCUCAUACGCCUGACCUGCGUCGCCGGUAAGUUUGUGUUGUUCUGCCAAAGACUCGGUCACCGCAGUUUUGAUGAAUGGAUGAGGUUUUCGUGCAAAGUGAAACCUACACACUUCGGCAGAGAGGGCAGCGUGAAGGAGGCUUCCCAGAUGUGCAGCAUGAGGCCACAUGGUCCUACAGUUGAGCAGUGCUGCUUCAGACCACCUCGCUCGCUGGAGCAGAACGUCAGAAAGAGAAGAGUCCACUCCCUUCCUGGAAACCUGUCUCCAGCACCCUCACGCUACUCAGAACUUGUGCCUCUCAGGCAUCACAAGUGCGUUGCCGGAGUGUUGCCCGGCCUCGUGGGGUAUGGCUUCUGGGAGGAUGAGACGGAGAGCCUGAGCAGGAUCAAAAGGUCACGUGGGUUCUCCGAAAUUUUUAACUCGGACCUUAAACUUCCCCCUCUCGCUGCACACAACGAUAAAGUGAGCAGGGCGGGUUUGAUGGUGCGAGGGUCCAGCUGUCUGCGCGUUUCCACAUUUCCACCCAUUCACGGUGGGCCCCAGGUUCUAGAGAGACCCCCAUCGCGGGCUGGACGCAGAGAGCUGGACCAUCCUAGUGAAAAAGAGAGUACGGUUGAAGGCGAGGCCCAACAGAGCAGGAGACGAACGCAGCCCUUGAUAAAGGGCCCCUCUGCCGGUCUUUCCGACCCAACCCGUUCCAAAGCAAAAUUAAAGGUUCAUCUUGGAGACCACGCCUCUGAGAAGAGUGGGAUGUUCAAGAUCAACCUAGGAAUCAACUUACAAAAAAGCCUUGGAGGACCAGCUGGCCUACGUCCGCUGAAGCUAGAUGGAGUGUUGACAGGACAGAAGCCUGGCGAAGGUUAGGCGUCAACCACGCAGCUACGGUCAGGCCUCAGCAGCUCAGUUAUAUGAGAGGGACCAGGGGUUGGAGCCUCAUUUCUGUCGCUCCUCCUUGGGUGCGUAGAGCAGCAGCCCAUCUACGACCUUCUACAGUCCACUUCCUCCAAACACCCUGCCUACCGGCCCAACCAUUCCGAUGUGGGAUUGUCCAGCUGCAACGGGUGGCGCUUCCCGAAGUCACAAUGACCAUUCAUCCCGAAAUCCCUCCUUAACUCCUUUCUCGCACCCGUUCUUUAAUUCCUGACUCUCAUCUGACAUCACUUUUAAACUCUUCUCUUACAGCAUGCUUCAGACUUUUGCUAUAGCUUAGCGAUCUUAAUGUUUUUUUUGACAACUCCAUAUUUGGAGGGAAUUUGUUUCAAGGAAUUUUCUUCACACAGCCUUAAUAACCUGAAAAAACUGCUGUAUCUUGUAUGUAUUGUUCUAUCUCGUGUGUAUCGUUGUACGUGUUGCGUGCUGUUACCGACUUGUGAGAAUAUUCGUUCUUCCUAAAACUAAUGCCUUUUUUUAAAUAUUUAAUUUCGCUGCCGACGAAGGUAAACCCUGUUAAUUCCGUUUUUGCACACUGUUUGCAAAUAAAUAAAGAACAGUUGACUCUGC
Scleropages formosus (Asian bonytongue) is the source of this 1729-nucleotide long non-coding RNA. The record is from Ensembl. Lineage: Eukaryota; Metazoa; Chordata; Actinopteri; Osteoglossiformes; Osteoglossidae.